RNAcentral lists this ribosomal RNA (253 nucleotides) under uncultured microorganism. Its description in RNAcentral is "partial 16S ribosomal RNA". It matches the Rfam family "Bacterial small subunit ribosomal RNA", at positions 524 to 776 of the family's 1533-position model. The record is from RNAcentral.
AACGGAGGUGGCUAGCGUUACUCGGAUUUACUGGGUGUAAAGGGUGCGUAGGCGGGCAUGUGCGUCGGAGGUUAAAUACAACGGCUUAACCGUUGAACUGCCUUCGAAACGGCAUGUCUUGAAUGUGGGAGAGGAUGAUGGAAUUCCUGGUGUAGCGGUGAAAUGCGUAGAUAUCAGGAGGAACACCGGUGGCGAAGGCGGUCAUCUGGCCCACUAUUGACGCUGAGGCACGAAAGCGUGGGGAGCAAACAGG